This 310-nucleotide ribosomal RNA is filed under the name uncultured bacterium. Its description in RNAcentral is "bacterial SSU rRNA". It matches the Rfam family "Bacterial small subunit ribosomal RNA", at positions 29 to 335 of the family's 1533-position model. The record is from RNAcentral.
AACGAACGCUAGCGGGGAUGCCUCAAACAUGCAAGUCGUACGCGAAAGUGGCUUCGGCCAUUAGUAGAGUGGCGCACGGGUGCGUAACACGUAACUAACGUUCCGCUUCGCUGGGGAUAACUCCGGGAAACCGGAGCUAAUACCGAAUAAUCUGUCGAGGUCUGCGGGACCUUGCCGGUAAAGCCGUAAGGCGCGAAGUGAUCGGGUUGCGGCCUAUUAGCUAGUUGGUGGGGUAAUGGCCUACCAAGGCACGAUAGGUAGCUGGUCUGAGAGGAUGAUCAGCCACACUGGAACUGAAACACGGUCCAGA